RNAcentral lists this ribosomal RNA (467 nucleotides) under uncultured bacterium. RNAcentral's name for it is "bacterial SSU rRNA". It matches the Rfam family "Bacterial small subunit ribosomal RNA", at positions 330 to 793 of the family's 1533-position model. The record is from RNAcentral.
UCCAGACUCCUACGGGAGGCAGCAGUGAGGAAUAUUGGUCAAUGGGCUUACGCCUGAACCAGCCAAGUCGCGUGAGGGAAGACUGCCCUAUGGGUUGUAAACCUCUUUUGUCAGGGAGCAACGCCGGCUACGUGUAGCCGGACUGAGAGUACCUGAAGAAAAAGCAUCGGCUAACUCCGUGCCAGCAGCCGCGGUAAUACGGAGGAUGCGAGCGUUAUCCGGAUUUAUUGGGUUUAAAGGGUGCGUAGGCGGAAUGCCAAGUCAGCGGUAAAAUUGCGGGGCUCAACCUCGUCGAGCCGUUGAAACUGGGUGCCUUGAGUGGGCGAGAAGUACGCGGAAUGCGUGGUGUAGCGGUGAAAUGCAUAGAUAUCACGCAGAACUCCGAUUGCGAAGACAGCUUACUAAACUAUAACUGACACUGAAGCACGAAAGCGUGGGGAUCAAACAGGAUUAGAUACCCUAGUACG